This 386-nucleotide ribosomal RNA is filed under the name uncultured bacterium. Its description in RNAcentral is "bacterial SSU rRNA". It matches the Rfam family "Bacterial small subunit ribosomal RNA", at positions 335 to 713 of the family's 1533-position model. The record is from RNAcentral.
ACUCCUACGGGAGGCAGCAGUGGGGAAUAUUGCACAAUGGGGAAACCCUGAUGCAGCCAUGCCGCGUGUGUGAAGAAGGCCUUCGGUUGUAAAGCACUUUCAGUAGGGAGGAAGGUAGUGUAGUUAACACCUGCAUUAUUUGUACGUUACCUACAGAAGAAGCACCGGCUAACUCCGUGCCAGCAGCCGCGGUAAUACGGAGGGGUGCGAGCGUUAAUCGGAAUUACUGGGCGUAAAGCGCAUGCAGGCGGCCUGUUAAGUCAGAUGUGAAAGCCCGGGGGCUUAACCUCGGAAUUGCAUUUGAAACUGGCAGGCUAGAGUCUUGUAGAGGGGGUAGAAUUUCAGGUGUAGCGGUGAAAUGCGUAGAGAUCUGAAGGAAUACCAGU